Long non-coding RNA from Astyanax mexicanus (Mexican tetra), 436 nucleotides. RefSeq lists it as uncharacterized. The record is from RefSeq and is a predicted model, not a curated record. The transcript is spliced from 3 exons. NCBI's taxonomy places the organism in Eukaryota, Metazoa, Chordata, Actinopteri, Characiformes, Acestrorhamphidae.
UCCACUGGCUCUUCCACUGCAGUGUCUAUGCCCUCUGCUGGUGGUUGGUGGCACAUGCCGCUUUCUUACAGGCCCACAGUGUUUUUUUUUUUUUUUCAUUUACUCUGAAUAGUAUUUGAUUGAAAACAGGAUAAACCCAGAAAAUGCCAUGAUUUGUCUGCCUUUUUUUUUAUGUUGCUAUAGUCUAAAAUCACACAUUUCUAUGUUUGUGUGUGUGUGUGUCCAUAAAACAGAGCUCUGUAUCUGAAGACCCUCAGUCCAGUGGUCCAGUCUACAGCAGUGUAGUUAAUAAGAAGAAGCAUUCAUCUGAAGCAGCUUCUGCAAGCGAUGUGGUCGACAGCACUGUAGCUCAUCAGAAGAAGCCGUUGUCUGCACCAGCUUCUGCGAAUGAUGUGGUCUACAGCACUGUAGCUGAAGAUGGCAAAAAAAAAUGUGU